This 497-nucleotide ribosomal RNA is filed under the name uncultured bacterium. RNAcentral's name for it is "partial 16S ribosomal RNA". It matches the Rfam family "Bacterial small subunit ribosomal RNA", at positions 28 to 507 of the family's 1533-position model. The record is from RNAcentral.
GAUGAACGCUGGCGGCGUGCCUAAUACAUGCAAGUCGAGCGAACAGACGAGGAGCUUGCUCCUCUGACGUUAGCGGCGGACGGGUGAUUAACACGUGGAUAACCUACCUAUAAGACUGGGAUAACUUCGGGAAACCGGAGCUAAUACCGGAUAACAUGUUGAACCGCAUGGUUCAACAGUGAAAGACGGUCUUGCUGUCACUUAUAGAUGGAUCCGCGCCGCAUUAGCUAGUUGGUAAGGUAACGGCUUACCAAGGCAACGAUGCGUAGCCGACCUGAGAGGGUGAUCGGCCACACUGGAACUGAGACACGGUCCAGACUCCUACGGGAGGCAGCAGUAGGGAAUCUUCCGCAAUGGGCGAAAGCCUGACGGAGCAACGCCGCGUGAGUGAAGAAGGUCUUCGGAUCGUAAAACUCUGUUAUUAGGGAAGAACAAAUGUGUAAGUAACUAUGCACGUCUUGACGGUACCUAAUCAGAAAGCCACGGCUAACUACGUG